UGCUGGAGGUAUCAGAAGUGCGAAUGCUGACAUAAGUAACGAUAAAGCGGGUGAAAAGCCCGCUCGCCGGAAGACCAAGGGUUCCUGUCCAACGUUAAUCGGGGCAGGGUGAGUCGACCCCUAAGGCGAGGCCGAAAGGCGUAGUCGAUGGGAAACAGGUUAAUAUUCCUGUACUUGGUGUUACUGCGAAGGGGGGACGGAGAAGGCUAUGUUAGCCGGGCGACGGUUGUCCCGGUUUAAGCAUGUAGGCUGGUUGUCCAGGCAAAUCCGGAUAAUCAAGGCUGAGGUGUGAUGACGAGGCACUACGGUGCUGAAGUAACAAAUGCCCUGCUUCCAGGAAAAGCCUCUAAGCAUCAGGUAACAUCAAAUCGUACCCCAAACCGACACAGGUGGUCAGGUAGAGAAUACCAAGGCGCUUGAGAGAACUCGGGUGAAGGAACUAGGCAAAAUGGUGCCGUAACUUCGGGAGAAGGCACGCUGGUGUGUAGGUGAAGUCCCUGCGGAUGGAGCUGAGACCAGUCGAAGAUACCAGCUGGCUGCAACUGUUUAUUAAAAACACAGCACUGUGCAAACACGAAAGUGGACGUAUACGGUGUGACGCCUGCCCGGUGCCGGAAGGUUAAUUGAUGGGGUUAUCCGUAAGGAGAAGCUCUUGAUCGAAGCCCCGGUAAACGGCGGCCGUAACUAUAACGGUCCUAAGGUAGCGAAAUUCCUUGUCGGGUAAGUUCCGACCUGCACGAAUGGCGUAAUGAUGGCCAGGCUGUCUCCACCCGAGACUCAGUGAAAUUGAACUCGCUGUGAAGAUGCAGUGUACCCGCGGCAAGACGGAAAGACCCCGUGAACCUUUACUAUAGCUUGACACUGAACAUUGAGCCUUGAUGUGUAGGAUAGGUGGGAGGCUUUGAAGCGUGGACGCCAGUCUGCGUGGAGCCAACCUUGAAAUACCACCCUUUAAUGUUUGAUGUUCUAACGUUGGCCCCUUACCGGGGUUGCGGACAGUGUCUGGUGGGUAGUUUGACUGGGGCGGUCUCCUCCCAAAGCGUAACGGAGGAGCACGAAGGUUAGCUAAUCCUGGUCGGACAUCAGGAGGUUAGUGCAAUGGCAUAAGCUAGCUUGACUGCGAGCGUGACGGCGCGAGCAGGUGCGAAAGCAGGUCAUAGUGAUCCGGUGGUUCUGAAUGGAAGGGCCAUCGCUCAACGGAUAAAAGGUACUCCGGGGAUAACAGGCUGAUACCGCCCAAGAGUUCAUAUCGACGGCGGUGUUUGGCACCUCGAUGUCGGCUCAUCACAUCCUGGGGCUGAAGUAGGUCCCAAGGGUAUGGCUGUUCGCCAUUUAAAGUGGUACGCGAGCUGGGUUUAGAACGUCGUGAGACAGUUCGGUCCCUAUCUGCCGUGGGCGCUGGAGAAUUGAGGGGGGCUGCUCCUAGUACGAGAGGACCGGAGUGGACGCAUCACUGGUGUUCGGGUUGUCAUGCCAAUGGCACUGCCCGGUAGCUAAAUGCGGAAGAGAUAAGUGCUGAAAGCAUCUAAGCACGAAACUUGCCCCGAGAUGAGUUCUCCCUGAGACUUUAAGUCUCCUGAAGGAACGUUAAAGACGAUGACGUUGAUAGGCCGGGUGUGUAAGCGCAGCGAUGCGUUGAGCUAACCGGUACUAAUGAACCGUGAGGCUUAACCUUACAACGCCGAAG
Molecule: ribosomal RNA, 1687 nt
Filed under: Klebsiella pneumoniae
Lineage: Bacteria; Pseudomonadati; Pseudomonadota; Gammaproteobacteria; Enterobacterales; Enterobacteriaceae
Description: bacterial LSU rRNA
Rfam family: Bacterial large subunit ribosomal RNA
Source: RNAcentral